Molecule: ribosomal RNA, 731 nt
Filed under: Nocardia sp. YIM 64776
Lineage: Bacteria; Bacillati; Actinomycetota; Actinomycetes; Mycobacteriales; Nocardiaceae
Description: bacterial SSU rRNA
Rfam family: Bacterial small subunit ribosomal RNA
Source: RNAcentral
GAGCGGCGAACGGGUGAGUAACACGUGGGUGAUCUGCCUUGCACUUCGGGAUAAGCCUGGGAAACUGGGUCUAAUACCGGAUAUGACCUCGGGAUGCAUGUUCUGGGGUGGAAAGAUUUAUCGGUGCGAGAUGGGCCCGCGGCCUAUCAGCUUGUUGGUGAGGUAACGGCUCACCAAGGCGACGACGGGUAGCCGACCUGAGAGGGUGACCGGCCACACUGGGACUGAGACACGGCCCAGACUCCUACGGGAGGCAGCAGUGGGGAAUAUUGCACAAUGGGCGAAAGCCUGAUGCAGCGACGCCGCGUGCGGGAUGACGGCCUUCGGGUUGUAAACCGCUUUUGACAGGGACGAAGCGUAAGUGACUGUACCUGUAGAAUAAGGACCGGCCAACUACGUGCCAGCAGCCGCGGUAAUACGUAGGGUCCGAGCGUUGUCCGGAAUUACUGGGCGUAAAGAGCUUGUAGGCGGUUCGUCGCGUCGUUUGUGAAAACUUGGGGCUCAACCUUAAGCUUGCAGGCGAUACGGGCGGACUAGAGUACUUCAGGGGAGACUGGAAUUCCUGGUGUAGCGGUGAAAUGCGCAGAUAUCAGGAGGAACACCGGUGGCGAAGGCGGGUCUCUGGGAAGUAACUGACGCUGAGAAGCGAAAGCAUGGGUAGCAAACAGGAUUAGAUACCCUGGUAGUCCAUGCCGUAAACGGUGGGUACUAGGUGUGGGGCUCCUUCCACG